AUUGAACGCUGGCGGAAUGCUUUACACAUGCAAGUCGAGCGGCAGCGCGGGGGCAACCCUGGCGGCGAGCGGCGAACGGGUGAGUAACAUAUCGGAACGUACCCAGUCGUGGGGGAUAACUAUCCGAAAGGAUAGCUAAUACCGCAUACGUCCUGAGGGAGAAAGCGGGGGAUCGCAAGACCUCGCGCGAUUGGAGCGGCCGAUAUCGGAUUAGCUAGUUGGUGGGGUAAAGGCUCACCAAGGCGACGAUCCGUAGCGGGUCUGAGAGGACGACCCGCCACACUGGAACUGAGACACGGUCCAGACUCCUACGGGAGGCAGCAGUGGGGAAUUUUGGACGAUGGGGGCAACCCUGAUCCAGCCAUUCCGCGUGAGUGAAGAAGGCCUCGGUU
This 392-nucleotide ribosomal RNA is filed under the name uncultured bacterium. RNAcentral's name for it is "bacterial SSU rRNA". It matches the Rfam family "Bacterial small subunit ribosomal RNA", at positions 29 to 424 of the family's 1533-position model. The record is from RNAcentral.